AAGUCGUAACAAGGUUUCCGUAGGUGAACCUGCGGAAGGAUCAUUAACAAAUUAUCCAAUACCAACCACUUGUGCACUGUUGAAGUAUGCUUUGGUAGAGUGCUGGGAUGGCUGUGGCAACACGGCCUCUCGAUCUGCCAGAGUUUUUACCAAUACUAAACAAACAAACGUCUUAUCAAUCUGACUGAACUUCAUUAUACAAAUGAAAAUACAACUUUUAACAAUGGAUCUCUUGGCUCUU
RNAcentral lists this unclassified non-coding RNA (241 nucleotides) under Basidiobolus ranarum. RNAcentral describes it as "partial internal transcribed spacer region". The stretch from base 1 to 46 matches the Rfam family "Eukaryotic small subunit ribosomal RNA", at positions 1786 to 1831 of the family's 1831-position model. Lineage: Eukaryota; Fungi; Basidiobolomycota; Basidiobolomycetes; Basidiobolales; Basidiobolaceae. The record is from RNAcentral.